Molecule: small RNA, 607 nt
Filed under: Pinguicula crystallina subsp. hirtiflora
Lineage: Eukaryota; Viridiplantae; Streptophyta; Magnoliopsida; Lamiales; Lentibulariaceae
Description: eukaryotic LSU rRNA
Rfam family: 5.8S ribosomal RNA (bases 234-389)
Source: RNAcentral
CGCAUGGAGCAGACUUGCGAACAUGUUCAUGCCUGAUGGGUUGCCAGGUCCUUCGAUCGGCAGCCCAUCACCCRACUGUCCUCGCGCAAAUGAGUGCGGCUGUUGGGUCCAACCAACCCACGACGCGGCAAGCGUCAAGGAUAACAACGGCGGAGCGACGCCCUUGUUACUCACCCAUUUGUGGCGUGAUGUUCUUGUGGCGCUCGACUCUCAUAAUUGAGUACCGAAAAAAUGACUCUCGGCAACGGAUAUCUCGGCUCUCGCAUCGAUGAAGAACGUAGCAAAAUGCGAUACUUGGUGUGAAUUGCAGAAUCCCGUGAACCAUCGAGUUUUUGAACGCAAGUUGCGCUCGAAGCCGUCAGGCCAAGGGCACGCCUGCCUGGGCGUCACGCAUCGAUUCUCCUUGUGUCGCCCUUUUCCGUUUGAGAAUAGGAGUUGAUUGCGGGGCAGAGUAUGGUCUCCCGUGUGCUGGCGCUCGGAUGACCCAAAUUGGACCCUCGGCGACAAACGCCACGACCAUAGGUGGUUGAUCAUUUGUUCAGCUCACGUGCGGUUGUGCUCUGCGUCAUUUCCGGCAAGGGUGUAUGUACGGACUCUACGGCGCUGC